This is a non-coding RNA of Strongylocentrotus purpuratus (purple sea urchin), 72 nucleotides long. NCBI's taxonomy places the organism in Eukaryota, Metazoa, Echinodermata, Echinoidea, Camarodonta, Strongylocentrotidae. The record is from Rfam.
GGGGAUAUAGCUCAGUGGUAGAGCGCUCGCUUCGCAUGUGAGAGGCCUCGGGUUCAAUCCCCGAUAUCUCCA